CAGUCGCCACGGGAAUACGUAGGUGGCAAGCGUUGUCCGGAAUUAUUGGGCGUAAAGGGCUCGCAGGCGGUUUCUUAAGUCUGAUGUGAAAGCCCCCGGCUCAACCGGGGAGGGUCAUUGGAAACUGGGAAACUUGAGUGCAGAAGAGGAGAGUGGAAUUCCACGUGUAGCGGUGAAAUGCGUAAAGAUGUGGAGGAACACCAGUGGCGAAGGCGACUCUCUGGUCUGUAACUGACGCUGAGGAGCGAAAGCGUGGGGAGCGAACAGGAUUAGAUACCCCAGUAGUCCCUGUCUCUUAUAC
RNAcentral lists this ribosomal RNA (301 nucleotides) under uncultured bacterium. Its description in RNAcentral is "partial 16S ribosomal RNA". It matches the Rfam family "Bacterial small subunit ribosomal RNA", at positions 509 to 807 of the family's 1533-position model. The record is from RNAcentral.